CUCAUCUAGAGCAGCGGAGGGAGUGGCCCGAUGAAACUGCGGCAACCAUUGACUUUGUCGAUAAGGUGCCAAUUCCUUUAGGUAUAUGCCUAUGAGAUGAGA
RNAcentral lists this non-coding RNA (102 nucleotides) under uncultured Mitsuokella sp. RNAcentral's name for it is "SAM riboswitch (S box leader)". It matches the Rfam family "SAM riboswitch aptamer (S box leader)". Rfam says of the family: The SAM riboswitch is found upstream of a number of genes which code for proteins involved in methionine or cysteine biosynthesis in Gram-positive bacteria. The SAM riboswitch acts at the level of transcription termination control. Lineage: Bacteria; Bacillati; Bacillota; Negativicutes; Selenomonadales; Selenomonadaceae. The record is from RNAcentral.